This is a non-coding RNA of Odocoileus virginianus texanus, 461 nucleotides long. The record is from RefSeq and is a predicted model, not a curated record. NCBI's taxonomy places the organism in Eukaryota, Metazoa, Chordata, Mammalia, Artiodactyla, Cervidae.
CCUGUCUCUCCUGAGACACUGUGUUGACCUGCCCUCAAGGAGACCCUCAUCCAGUGGAAGAGGUUCUUCAGCCUUUGGUGUCAGGAGGAGUAAAACCCUUUACAAGACCCAACCAGGUAUGGAGAGAAGAGAGGGACCAGCAUAGAGGAAGUGCUGUUUGACAUUAAACCUAACAAGGCUGGCAAGGAAGAACAAAGACGCCUUCGCAUGAAACUUCCAGCUUGGUCAGUAGCAUACCUGAUCACGCUCCAGUGAAUAAGCAUCGACAUGGAUACAUCACCACGUGUAGAACAGACAGCUAGUGGGAAGCUGCUGCGUAACACCAGGGGUGCAGCUCCAUGCUUGAUGACCGAGAGGACGGCACAGGGCUUGGGGUGGAGAGGAGGUUCAAAAGGAGGGGAUACAUGUGUACACACAGCCAAUUCACGUUGCUGUGCAACAGAAACCAACACAGCAUCAUA